GACGUAGGGCGCGAGCGUUGUCCGGAUUUAUUGGGCGUAAAGAGCUCGUAGGCGGCUUGUCGCGUCAACUGUGAAAACCCGUGGCUCAACCAUGUGGUCUGCAGUCGAUACGGGCAGGCUAGAAUUCGGUAGGGGAGACUGGAAUUCCUGGUGUAGCGGUGAAAUGCGCAGAUAUCAGGAGGAACACCGGUGGCGAAGGCGGGUCUCUGGGCCGAUAUUGACGCUGAGGAGCGAAAGCGUGGGGAGCGAACAGG
Molecule: ribosomal RNA, 254 nt
Filed under: uncultured bacterium
Lineage: Bacteria
Description: partial 16S ribosomal RNA
Rfam family: Bacterial small subunit ribosomal RNA
Source: RNAcentral